This 693-nucleotide long non-coding RNA is filed under the name Coffea arabica (coffee). RNAcentral describes it as "long non-coding RNA (CARA_LNC005468)". The record is from RNAcentral. Lineage: Eukaryota; Viridiplantae; Streptophyta; Magnoliopsida; Gentianales; Rubiaceae.
UUCGGGAGUCACAUUUGAAGAGAGGGAAGGCAAGGACGGAGGCCAAGGCACCCUCUCAACCUAGCCAAGGCUAGUUGCGCGAUUUUAGUCAAAGGUUUUCUUAUUUUAACCUAAAAAUUUAUUGCAUUUGGAUGCACUAUAUGAAUGCAAACCCUAGAUCUAAUGAUGAAUCGAGUGGGACAAAUAUCUCUUAGAGGUUCGAUUGGACUAAAUCACACAAGUUGUGAUAGCCAAGGAUGAGCCCUCCAAGAGGUCACGAAUAAUGCUAAUGACGUAAGAAUGAGUGGAAUGAAUGUAUGUAAUGUGAAAACAUGAGCUUGUGUGAAGUGAAAAAGUAAUAAUAGUAAUAAAAAAACAAUAGUGUGUAAGUGGAAGUGUGCAAAUGAGUGUGCAAUGUGAGGUAUGUAAAGUGAUAGUGUGAAAUGUAUGUGUGUAGCAUAAAAUGCAUGUGUGCAAGUGAUAGUAUGUAAAGUGCGAGUGGUAGAGUGAAAAUGUACAAAAAUAAGAGUUGCGUGAAAUGAUAGGGGGUAAAUGAAAUGCAUGAAUUCUAGAGGAAUGCAAGCAAGAUGGGUACGGGGAGACCCUAAGUCGUGACUUUUAAUUUGCCUUUUGGUUAGAAGGAAAAACUAGCGUGCUAAGGCUAUGUGUAGCCAUACUCGCUCGUUUCCCUUACCAGAAGGGUGACUCCCUAAC